CUCGCAGCCAGGUGGCUUGAAAGCGAUGAAGCUGAUGCACUGUACUUGCCUGGUGUUGUCGAAGCCGAUGAUGCGGACAUAGGCGCCAGGGUAUUCCUUCUUGACCUCCUCCAACUCCUUGAGCACCUGCGUGGCGUCAGUGCACCCGAACAUGGGAAGCUUCCACAUUGUCCAGUACCUCCCGUCCUAGUACCCUGGGGAGUUGCCGUGCUCACGGAAGACGAAACCGACCUUGCUGAACUCGAGGCAAGGAACCCAUUUGGAGCGGAUGAGAUACUCGAUCUGCUUCAGGAGGGACUCCACGGUGAGAGGUGGCAGGUAGGAAAGGGUCUCGAACUUCUUGAUGCCCUCAAUUGGCCACACCUGCAAUUAGAUUAAAAUUAGCACACAAAGUGUGAUUUGAGACACAUAUCGAUGGAGUAUUUCACUUCACACAUAUCGGUAUGAUGAUAUACAUACCUGCAUGCUCGUGAUCCUGCCACCGUUGGAGACGCUGCCGAGGCCAGCGCCGGCAGAGCGGCGGCUGACGGGGAGCCCGGCGGUGGACUUGAGGCCCCGGAAAGGAGCAACAGCGGUAGCCGCCGCCGACAUCACUGUCGGACCCAUAGCAUCCACCCUUGUAUCACUAGAGUAUAUCUACUUAGCUAAUAUGCUAAGUUUGGCACGGAGAGAGGAGGUCGAGUGGACUUCAUUCCUGGUCACAAGGGUUUAUAUAUACCAUAUAACAUACGAGCAAUUUGUGAUUAAUUUGUUGUCGUUCUAGGAGAUGUGGAAAGGGUGGAUGCCGUUCGUUGGUUGCCUUAUCCGUUCUAGAGAAGGGAUGGAUGACCGACGCUCGCUCAGCCGUCUCCUUCGUCCAUCGUUGCCAAUCUUUCUAGCUAUAAUUGGAAGUUCCAAAGGAACAUACGGUUUCAUGCCUACUUCCAUCGGCCUAUCAUGUACCAAUCCAAUAAAAGGACAUCGUUCAACCAUCAAUCCAUGUGUGUGUAGUAAGUGAUUGGCUACGAACCUUCAGCUGACUUGCUUUAUUGGAUAUUUCUGUAAAGCGAGUCCACGGUGUGUGGGUUUAAAAUCUCGUGGCGGCAACUGUUGACGGGUGCAAAUAUCAGUAGCCUUAAAACAAUAAACUUUACUCCGUCCCUUCCGAAAUGCAAGAAUGUCCUAAGUCAAACUUCUUAUGCUGCAGGACCAUAGUUUUUGAGGUGUUCUUCUCACGAGUCCACGAAGAACGGGAAUUUUUUGGUGUCGGGUAAGGGCGGGGGAAUAUAUAGAUGCUAGCAUCAGCAUGACGGGCUAACGGGUCAGGUAGGAUUUUGGACGACGUAGCACCUGACAUGUGGGGGCCACAUGUAAGAAAACCUGUCAAAAUGUCAUAACCCUCUGUUUUGGUCAACUUGAUACAAUCUGAUACAAAACGUGUGGUUUUCCUGACAAAUUAGCAAAUUUUGUGUCUCUGUGAGAAGCACGCCCCAAAAACUGUGGUUCCGUGAAAUUUAUUCACUAGUUACACUUUAUCUACAAACAUCUACGAUUCUAAAAUAGUUUGGUAUAUAUUUUCCGUAAUAUAAUUAUUUGAUAUUCUAAAUUCGGGGAUUUGUUCUUAUAAACUUGGUCGAAGUUUAAAAAGUUUGACUUCGGACAAAGUUACGACUUUUUACAUUUAGGAAUGAAGGGAAUACAUUUUAGUAAAGCAAUUGAGGAAUUGACAGAAUUAAAUAUCUUAAAUUAUACUGGUCCAUCGUGUACUCAUGGCAACAAAAUAAAUUUAUAGUCGAAAAGUUGGACCAUGAAAACUUAAAACGUGAUACAUUAAAAUUGUUGAAUCACUCUACAUCUUGUAAUUUUCUCUUGCAACCUUCUGGCGCGCUACUCAUUCCACAUUUGGUACUAUAUGUAUAAAUGUAUAUAUAUACCGCAUUAGGAGCCUCUAUUACUGUUUUAGUAUAAAUAGCAGUUUCCAUCGACUAUGCACUUCAUUAACUUUUUCUUCACGAGAUAACUUGCUUAUCGAUUUUCUUUAAUUAUCCAGAUGGCUUCUACUAGUUUGUUUCCUUGCUUACUGGGAUUUCCGCAGACUUUACGGUUAGGUAUUAUUGUCGUGUGGACAACACGGUGGCCGGAUGUUGAGAUGAUGAUGUCCUUUAUCUCCGUGUUGCUUCUGAGGACUGCGGAUCCGAGGCUAGUGGCGGUAUGGGAUGCCUCUCUACCUCUUGAUCAGGUCAAUCCGGCUCAGCAAGAGGCGGAUCGAUGGUGGCCGGUGUGACUAGAAGCGGGGAGGUAUAUAUGAAACGUUUCUUGCUUCCAGCAUCUCUUCUAGCGGUAUAUAUGUCGUCAGCUGGUUGAGGGAUUGAUGGCAAUCGAUCAUGGCUACGAUGACAUGUAUACGCGCCGGUAGGAACACAUAUCAGGCAAUGUCGAUGCACCUGCAUUGGGCCCUUGCUGAAGGUGGUGGUGCGUAUGGCAGUCUAAAGAUUUAAGACACAAAUUUAGACUUAAAACUUAAAUAAUCAAUUUGUGCCAGCGGGAAACACACAAACACGUACCGGUAAAUUAUCAUAAUCAGAAUUUGUCGACGAAUUUGAUAUUCUUUUACAAAAUAUACUUAUCUUAAUAUGUAUAACCGGAGUUUAUAUUACAUGCCCCUCUCCCAACGAUAGUUGUAGUACUCUUAUAAUAGUAGUACUCAUGAAUACAGUUAAUCCGGGUUGUUGGGAGAGAUCACAUGCAUAAAUACAACAUGAAACAAACGUGUGAAAAAGGUACAUAAAAUCGGUGUGACCCGUUCUUGUAUUAUAAGAAAUCAACUUGCUUAGGCCUUGCCGGACUCCUCACAACCCGGUGGCUUGAAGGCGAUGAAGCUGAUGCACUGCACUUGCCUGGUGUUGUCGAAGCCGAUGAUGCGGACAUAGGCGUCAGGGUACUCCUUCUUCACCUCCUCCAGCUCCUUUAGCACCUGCGUGGCGUCGGUGCACCCGAACAUGGGAAGCUUCCACAUUGUCCAGUACCUGCCGUCGUAGUACCCGGGAGAGUUGCCGUGCUCACGGAAGACGAAACCGACCUUGCUGAACUCGAGGCAAGGAACCCACUUGGAGCGGAUGAGAUACUCGAUCUGCUUCAAGAGGGACUCCACGGUGAGAGGCGGCAGGUAGGAAAGGGUUUCGAACUUCUUGAUGCCCUCAAUUGGCCACACCUACAAUUAGAUUAAUAAUUAGCACCGAAAGUAUAAUUUGAGACACAUAUCAGUAUUUCACUUCAACAUAUGUACAUGAUGACAUACAUACCUGCAUGCACCUGAUCCUUCCACCGUUGGAGACGCUGCCGAGACCAGCGCUGGCUGAGCGGCGGCCGAUGGGGAGCCCGGCGGUGGACUUGAGGCCCUGGAAAGGAGCAACGGCAGUAGCCGCUGACGACAUCACUGUGGGAGCCAUCGUACACGUACGUAGAUAGCUAACAAGAGGAGGCAGGCUUGCUUGAGUGCUCUCUAGCUACAGCGGCUUAUAUAACUGUAGGCUCCCCACCCAUCCAAUAUCAGCACAAGAUCUAGGAGGGGUGGCUGCAGUUCGCCGCGCGGAUUUGCCCAGGCCACGCUGGCAUCCUACGGAUCAGGUCGGGCGCCACAUGGCCGCACGAAAUGGCGCGCGUUAUCCUCUGGACGGAUACAAUUGGCUGCAACGCACUCUGCAAAUCAUGCCAUGAAGUGACCAAUUUUCACCUAUCAGGAUAGAUCCAAUGUGCCACGGCAUGCACUCAAAAACAGAACUUGCUAAUCCCUCCAAUCCAUAAAAAAUCUCGCCCACUUAUUAGAAAAUUUGUAAUGAGUUAAUGCAAAAUGAGCAGCACUUUUUAUGAACUAGAGGAACAACAAAUUAAGAGAAACUCUUCUAAGAUCUUAUCGAGAACGAAGCUUGCCCCCGCGUCGCUCAGUCUGGGGCGACACGGGCGGCAACCACACCAGCCCCGGCAGCAGCCUCUCCCCGUCCUCUCCUCCCCCUCGCCGCCGCCGGGCAAAGCCCGCACGGGGACGGCGGCGGCGGGGCUGUUUUUCUUGGCGGGGGUGUCCUAGAGCUCUUGGCUGAGGCGUUUGAGGUGCUGCCUCAUCGUGGUCGCGGCGUCUCCGGCCCGAUCCGGCAGGCUAUGCCUCGUCUUCGGCUAGAUCCGGCCGGCUUCCUCCCGGAUCCGGUGUUUCCCCUCGUUCUUCCUCUCCCUGGUGCUCGGUCUGCUCGUGGCUGCGCGGCUUCACGGCGGCGCUCUUCGGCCGGAUCUAGCUACUCGUUGGCCAGAUCCGUCAUCUCCUCCGGCUGAUCCGGCAUGUCCCAGGUCUCUUCGUUUCCAUCAUUUUUCCUCUCAGUUUGGUGAGGCGGCUGAUUGAACUUCACCGGCGGCAGAUGGGCUGCUGCUGCGGCCAUACAUGGUCCAAGUCGGUCCUUUUCGAUGCCAUGGUGGCGUGGUUUUCAUUUUCGGUCGCGUCUUCGGCUGCUGCCCGUGUGCGAGGUAUGGACGUCGGCUCCGGUGUUUGGAGUGUUGCUCUGGAUGAAAACUGCCCGUGUGCGAGGUAUGCCGAAGACAACGAUGUUGUAGCGCCGUUUUCCUUCUUGGAGGUGUCGUCGAAGAGCUUCACUUUCCCUCACUUUGAUGUUUGGUGUCUUCGGGUGAAAACCUAAGAUUUGGCUAUGGCCAGAUCGGGCGACAACGGCGUUUUUACGUCGAUUUCCUCCUUGGGGGCGUUGUCAUGGAGACAACGACUCUUGGUGGCAUCGGGUGGUGUGGUCCGUCUAUGGUGGAGCUUGUUGUCUCGAGUUGUUGAAGGUUUGGUGGUGUCUCUUCUUGUGUCAUGUGUUAGCUUAGGCUGUCGGUUUGUGUCCGGCGAGAACGUGCGUUUCUUAUCCUUUGGUGCGGUUUCGGCAUGUGAUGCCUUUCGUCUUCACUAUCGUCACGUAGGUGUCGUGUUGUAUUCUCGGUGGUGUGUGGUCUUUCGGCUUAGCCAACGGCAAGUGGAGGUAUGAUCUCGGUUGUGUAUUGCCCUUCGACUUCAUCGGCGGCACAUCGGCGUCGCGGUGGGUCUCAGUGACGCGCAGCCCUUCGACUCUGCCGGCUACGUAGGUGUCAUGGUGCGGCCUUGACCCUGUGCUUCCCUUCAGCUACGGCGACGACAUAGUGUCUGGGUGGGCUCGUCAGAUCGACGCCUUUCGACUACAUCAACUAUGCUCUUCAUUGUGCAUUUAUUUUGCCAUUGACAUGUUUCAAGAGUCUAGGUUUUUUCCUUGUGUUUCUUUUAGCAAAUGCUGUUCUGCAGGCUGGCUUUUGCCCACCCGAUCAGAAAAGAAAAACAAAUUAAAGGCUAAAAUCAAGCGAUGUUAUAUUCCCUUAGCUAUUACAAAUAUGGAUGAUAAGAGUUAUUUAUCCUUUUUCAACGAGUAACCCUUUACUUGGAAGUUCCAUGUGCAUGGCGCUGCAAGAAAACAAACAUCAUAAUGGGGCAAGACUUUUUUUUUUAUAAACAUCCAAUUUGGGUUAAAGUCUGAAAGAAUUUGGCUAUCUGAACUUUCAGUUUCCACAUUCUUUUACCUACUCAAUUCUUCAGCCAACAGGAUCAAUGGCGACCUACUAACACCAACCAGAACACAUGGGUCACAAACACGAAAAAGGGCUAGAAGGCUACUUAUACACACUCAUGUGUACUGCGAGCAAAAGAACAUAAUGUACAAAACUUUACAAAAUCUAGGGAAUUAAGACCUUCCCGUAUGCUGUUGCUGCCGCUGCUGCUUCAUGCUGGCUCUCCUGGCAACAUCCCAUGGUUUGUGAGGCACACCUACACCUUGCUGGGAUGCGAAGAACGACUCGUAUCCCGGGGAGUCGAAAGCAAAACCAGUGUGCUUGGAGUUCUCUCGAGGGAGCAUGGAGAUCGCAUAGCUUCUUGCUUCUUCUGGGCUCAAAUGGCUCCUCUCAGGCAGAUGUAUCAUGCUGUAUUCGUGGGGGUCAUCCUUGUGCAUCUCCUGGAUUACUUGGUAGUCAUAGGGAAAGAGCCAUCUUUGGAGCCUGAGAAAGCACACAGCAUCAAAGACAACAAUUGAUUCAGCUACUUCAGUAUGUACAAUGGAAGGAAUAACAAACGGAUGGCAUUAACAAACAUAUAAUUUUGCAAAAGAGCUGGUAUCUUACGAUAGAUACAGGAAAUCACCAAAGAGAGCGAUGACUGGAGCAAGCAUUAGUGUGAGGUAGAAGAAAAAGGUACUCAUCAGAACAUAAAUCACAAAAUAUACAUUUUCCUGCACAAGGUACACAGCAUUAAGUCAAUGCAUUUGUAGCAAGUAAUCGUCAUCAGCAGUGUAAUAGCUACAUUAUUCACCCACCUGUCGGUCAAAUGAUGUCAUUAUCGCAGAAUAUAUGAAGAUAAACAGAAACCAGGCCGCUAUACUGCCAGCUACGCUGAAAUAAUGCCAUCUCGUGAUAGAAUUGCACGACAUGAGGAGACGUAGAUUAACAGUCACCACAACACAAGUAAAGGCCAUCGUGCUAACAUCCCAUUGACCAAGAAUCUUGCCAGAUGAACCGUGACCAUGCUGACUUGCAGCUGCAGUAAAGUAAUAGAACACUAUUGACUGGUAGAAGGCAAAGAAACCCCACACCGCAAUCACUUUCCACCGGAAGAAUGUGUUCCUAAUUCCUUCUUGGUAAAGUUGUGGGUAUUUUUUUGAUAGAGAUGCACUCACAUCCUGAAAGGGUUCAGUUUAGUGAAUGUAGCAAGGAGCGUCACUCCAGAACAAGAAAAGUAGAACAAAUACAAGCAACCAUACCUUAUCAAACAACCCAACCAUAAUUACAGGUAGUGCCGUGAAAAUGACAUUAUACAGAGACUGGAACCAGUCAUCAUAAAAUCGCUGACCAGAAAAGCCAGUUUGGAAAGUGAACCAGAACUGAGUUAGUGUAAAAGUCAGAUUCUUGUAGAAGAAGUAUGUGAUAACCUGAAACAGAAAGUGUCAAUGUUAAAAAAAUUAAACUACACAGAUUGGCAGCUACAAGCUAAGGGACCAAAGCAUACCUUGCACAAUCUCAAGUAUGACCACCGCCCAUGUACAAGAAGUAAAUCCGUAAGAUAUCGAAACUGAGCAAUGGCAAAAUCACUCGCCAUAACAGCUUGCAUUCCUUCUUGUCCGCUGAUGCCAAUACCAACAUGAGCAGCUUGAAUCAUACUCACAUCAUUAGCACCAUCACCAAUACUGAGAGUUAUCUUACGUGCACCUUUCCUAACUAAACUUGCAACCUACAAAUGUGUCAACAUUACAUGUUUUGGCAUCAUUCGAACCCAACAGGUUAUUAGGAAAUAAAUCCAAAAAUAAGAGACUUUGAGAUUGCUGAUGGGAUGGGUAACAACCAAAUAAGCACAUAUACAAUAAGUUAAUUAAUACUACCUUUGUUUCAAAAUAUUAUACCAAAACGUCUUAUAUUUUGAAACAGAGAUAGUACUUAUAGUACAAGAGUGUACAGGACAUUUAGUUAAGAGGCCAAAACUAGAAUAGCAAAAGCAACCAAUGCACAGUGGUUAAUAAUGAUCUUGUGAAUCAUGCACAAACUAUUUUGUUGUCAAGGUACAAAAUUGGAUCCUUUAAAAUGUAAUAAUAUCAAUAUCCCCCGUUUAUUGCCCAAGCAUCCUGAAAGGCAUGCAGCUGAGAGCUGCAGACCAUACUGCUAAUUAUUUCAUGGGAAAAGGCAAGGCAUGCAUGAUAAGAACGCUAAAAGCGAGAAUUGAUAUUUACCUGUGCCUUUUGCAGUGGAGAAACUCGACAACAUACAACUGAUUGGCAAAUUAAACUCAAACCAAGAAGAUUCACACGCAGAGCUGGGUCUAGAGCGUACAUCAAGCAUCGUCCAUCAAUAAUGAAAGCCAACUUUCGUCCUGGCGUGCUCCUCAAAGAACGGUGGGCUUCCUCAAGGUAACUUCUCAGACUCUGUUUUACCGAGUCUUUGAUAACACGUGCAAUUUCCACAGGGUCUCCCUGAAAAUGACUGGAACAUUAUUCAUGGCAAAGAUAUGUGCAUAAGUUGAUUUACAUCAAUCAGAUACAAAUGCUAAAUUGCUAAUUAUGGUUGAUCAAACUGCAAAACACACGAGAUAUCCAAAAGGCUAUAUAAACAUGAUGGAGAGGCUAAAGCACUGAAACAACAGAAUCAACAUAAAGUAUUUUGUACUAUUAUGCAACUAAGCCUUUUGUCCCAAGCAAGUUGGGGCAGGCUAGAUAUGAAACCCAAACAGAAACUAAAGCAAAGUGCAGGUAACAAAAGAGCAAGAGAGUAAAUCAAGGUUCAGGCACAUGGACUGCUGAUUUCCAUGCAGCCCUAUCAAAAGCAAAAUCUCUAGAUACAUUCCAGUCCUUCAAGUCCCUUUAACUGCCUCCUACCAAAAGCAAAUAUCAUAGUAAUCCACCAACCAAAGUAACAAGGGAACUACUUGUAACUUCUUAGUUCACAAGUACAUACCAGUUGAGCUAUCCAAUUAUUCUAAAUAAUAUGGUUUGAUACCUUUACCAAAGUCUCAACUUGUAUUCAUUUUAAAGCUUAUACAAGAUAUUAUAUGUUAUGGCUUAACAGUCUCCAUGACACAAUAUGGCUUGACUUCACAGUUUAAUUCUAUAGGAUUAUCUUACCCUGUCUUCAGCAUCUCUAAUUGCAUCUGUCUCAGAAGUGAUGAUGAAUUGUUUUGUAUCGUUAUUCACCAGGCUGCACGCUGCAGAGCAAAAACUAAAUAACUUCAGAAGCUUUUCUAUGUCAGGUGAAAGAGAGAGAAAAAGACCGCCCGCCCCCCACCAAUAAUCCAAAACUGAGCUUCUAUUAGACCCCUUAAGAACGAAACAAGCAUGCAAAUUGAUCUAUAUAUAAUUAAAACCUCACCAUAUGCUAUAUUAAUUGCUGUUUCCAUUUUAUCUCCAGUUAGCACCCAAAUUUUUAUGCCAGCUGCAGAAAGAGUUUCAAUGCAGGCUGGAACCCCUUCUUGCAGUUUGUCUUCUAUUGCAGUGCACCCUAUCAAUAUAAGGUCCUUUUCAAUCAACUCAGCCACCUACAGGGGAAGAAACAGAAGGAAAUUAUAUGGCAAUGUCCCAGCAAUAUCUUAAAUCAGAAUAUACAUUAAGUCUAUUACUUCAAAUUCCUUUUUCCUAGAAAUCACAGUGAACUUAGUACAUGAAAGAAUGAAAGGAUAAUGCUUUUCUAAUGGGGAUUUGAAAAAACAUCAUAAAAAUAAUAAUAUAAAGUACUGUAUGUUCUUGUUCUAGAUAAAUUACAAAUAUCUUUUGCUCAUGAUCCUCUUUCCUGACUAAAAAAUAUAUAUUAUUAUGUAAAAUACUAAUGUUCUAUGGCAGUACAAGAUAAUAAAUUAGCACAAAAAACUAUUAAACUGCAAAUGUCAGCUGUUAGGGAUGGAUGACAUGACUCCUGUAGUUUUGGGGGGAGAGAGAGAGGAGACACACUGAACAAAUUACUUCCUUCGUCUCCAAAGAUUGCCAUGCCACAUUCUAUUCGGUCAGUCAACCUUUUACAACUUCAAAAUUAACAAUUAUAAGUGAAUUGAAUUACUACAUGAAAAAUAACAGCACUCAAUUUGCUUGCAUAAUAAUUUGUACGCAAAACUUUUGCUUGUAUAUUAGCAUAGAAAUCAUAGCCAGAGUUUUAUGUUGGGAGAAUAUAAAAUUAAAAAAUGGCCUACAUUUGUCAGGUACAUUCAGUUAAUUGUUUCCAAAACCAAAUUAAUUUUCAUACAUAAAUACCAAACGGAUCAAUAGCAUGCUCAACAGUGCACAUGAGACUCGAGUUCAGUACUGGAUGACAGAAAGUAAAAAAAAUCAGGCAAGCACUAGAAGGUGGAGGGGAAGUAAUCGAAAUUCAAAUCACAGGGACUGUUCAGCCUGUAUACUCAACAGAAGAGGAUGGUACACAUACCUCAUCAAGCUUCUUAUCACGAUCUCGUAAAGAAGAUUUAGCUUGAACAAACUUCUCAUUCCAGCUUUCGUACUGCUCCCUGCUUAGAUCUCGAUAAGCAAGGCAAAGCGUGCGCAAGCCAGCAGAGCCAAAUUGUUCUAGAUGUUCUCUGCUUGUCUUUUUAAUGUCAUGAUUUCCAUCAGCUAACCGUUCAAAAAUGACAUUAUCAGCGCCCUGUUACACAACAUUUGUAUAAGGUUAGUGCAUCAAUCUACAAAGUGAUAGCUACAUAAAGAUUCUUUUUUCUUGUAUUACCUUGCAAUACAGAACAAGUUUUCCAUUUGGGAAACGGCAAACCACAGAUUGGCGCUUUCUUGUACUGUGAGUGCAGUAAAGUGUGAAGUGCAGAACAAUGAUUUCAUCUUGUCAAAUUUAAAUUGAAAACAGAUAAACCAGACCUGUUGAAUUCCAAAACAUUCAGAAUUUCAUAUGCAACAUCUUGUAUACUCCCCAUCCUCUCAACAUGUGAUUCCCGAACCAAGACUGUGGUUGGCGUACGUCUACAAGACAGGCACAAAAUGUCAACCACCGGCAUUGCCAUUCACAAUAAAAAUGCCACAUGAAAUAAUUUGCAACAAAAAUCAUAAGAACUUAGAUGAGUUCAUGUUCACAGCACUUGCUUUAACACUUGUCUUAAUUUACAACGGCAAUUUUUUGUUGAUGGGCUAAUAGUUUAUUUAUGCUUCUUAGUAUGUACAUUCAGUCCUUCAUACAACAAACUAUAUAAGCAAUAACCUGGGUGAGUGACUCUUUUAUGCACAUUUUCCUUGGGACCAUAGCAUAGUUUUUUAAGAUACCUUGUUUGCAACAAACUGAUAAGAGGAAUCUAUAACUGUAUUUAAAGGCAAGGUAAGACAUGCCUAUAAAAGAAGAAACCAAAAUUCUUCGCAGCAGCGACAAGCGCGGCCUCGUCGGGAGAGGCAGCUUGAUAAGUAAUCUUUUCCGGUGUCUCCUCACCCUCAGGAAGAACUGUAUGACAGAUUGCAAGGCAUCUGCAGAAUUGCUAUAGAGCAAAUAACAAAGUUGUUACACAACUAGCACAUUAACAAGGGAAAAUGUGAAAAAGGAAAAUAGGUUCCAAAUUUUAUUAGUAAGGGCAUAUAUCGUGAUAUGUGAAUAAUUUGUGUCAACUAAAUCAAAACUGAUUAUGACCAAAGGGGAACCAAUCGAACUAUUCCACAGGUAGUCCCGUAUUUACCACGCAAGCAUCAGGAUUAGGUUCAUUUCUCCAUGCACCACGCAUUAUUCUAGCAUCAUCAAAGUUGAAUCCUUUCUCAUGAACUGCAGUGGCUGAUCUUUUACCCUAAAAAAGGCAAGUAAACUGGAUAUUAAAUCAGUUGUGCAUUAAAUUUUUCAUCAUAUACCACCACACUUCAAUAGCGUAAACAACAAAGAAAAUGUUGUAGACCUCAUCAUCAUCAAUCUUGACUCCGGCUCGCUCGGCUCCUCCUUUUUCAAUCUCUGUGAUGCCAGUUCCAUAUAUUUCCCCUCCAAUCGAACAUUUAAAGAAUUCCAUCAAGUUUCUUGUAAGUGUUCCAGUUUUGUCAGAAAAUAUAUACUCAACCUGAACCAUUAGUGGGGCAAAAAAAAUUUGGCAGAAAUGUCAAAUUAUUUGCAAGUGUUAAGUGCAUUUUAGUACCACUCGGCAUUUGUUCAGUCAUAUAAGCAUUUCUGGGGAUCUAGAACAGUUUUUCGGUGGGAGUAAGUCACUUAAUAUUAGUGAAAUGAGACUGUUCCCCAAGUGCUUAUAAUUGAUCCCACUUUCUGGAAUGAGUCGGUGCAGUGAGGUCAUUCUAUCCAUUAACCAAACCCAGCCAUAUAGGUCAAAUAAGUAAAUAACCCCAUUUCAGCAACAAACAAAGGGGCUUUCAUCAAACUAAACAGAAUGCUAAGGAACAAAAAAAAAACUGAUAUUACCUGCCCAAGCUCCUCAUUCAGAUUAGAAGUCCGAGCCAAAGCUGGGGUGUUGCUCUCGGCAUGAUACAUAUUCAGAUCAUUGUUAAUAAACUUUGCACACUGAAUGAAUUUGAUCAUCUGCCAGCCAAAAUAAACAUAAGGUCCAAUCCAAAUACAGGGUACACUAAAUGAUAAAUUGGUCAAUAUACCUCAAUGGAUACAUAAAGAGAAAUGGGGAUGAUCGUUGAGUAUAGAGUUAUUAGAGUAAACAUAGUUAAAAUGGUCACCUGCAAAAGUACAAACCUAUGAUAUAAGGCCACUUAGAGAAUAUUCUCUACAAUAAAUUAACUAAAAUAAUAUAUACCACAAAUCUGUUCUUGGGAUUAAACUGGUCCUCGACACGCCCACGCAAUCCAAGAUAGAAGUAUUUCUCAUUAAUAAACACGCCACUGUUCACAAAAGCCAAGUAUGAUGAGUCCAUUGGUAGAGUUUUAGGUUUCUAAAGAACGUGCAAGCUAAGCAGUCAUAGUUACCAAAAUCUAUAUGCUGAACAGAGCACUUCCAUUUCUGACCAUCUAGAAAGUGCCCUAUUAUGUACCUCCCACAUAAAACCACUAAGAAAAAAGAUAAGGCUAUUAAGACCUAGUCAUGUGCUCAUCUAUACUGCUCCUAUGCCACAAUAAAAAAAUAACUUCCCCAAACAAGCUCCUGACAACUCAUGUCAUAAUGUUUAAAGUUUAUCUCUCUAUUAACAGUUGUUUUUUCAUGAUCAAUUAAAUUGUGAAAAAUGAUUGUGCAAGCAUAAGCCUCCACAACAUCAACCUAACCGAUAUAACUCAUGUUCAGAGAAUAUACAUGUAAACAAUAAUACAAGAUAGAUAAGUCAAAUAAAUGAAGUGGGCCAAAUAAAACACUGACCUUCCAAUAGCACCAAUGACACACAUCGUAAAGAGGGUUGCAAAUAGAGCAAGAAUAAGCUUGUCUAGUUUCUUCUCCAAUGUACUUCUUUUAGAGGGAACAUUCAUAGAAUUCAUCAUAACCUGCAAUAGUGUCCCACUGCAGUAAAUCUCAAAACUAGAAGCACAUCUAACCUACAAGUUGAAUAUAUAGGGACACAAAAUUGCACAUACUUUCGUCUCAUGGCCCGUGAAUAUAACAGCCGCGACAAUGUACUCUGUAUUACGAAGGCUGCAUCCCUGUGGCAAAGUGGUAAUAAGAGGUUGCAUGUGUGCCACAUAAAGAGAGAGAAUUAAGUGUCAUGCAAGACACCGUUCAGUCUGGUGAAAGUAAACAUUUCUUUUGCACUUUACAAACAUUGCUUCAACCCUUCACCACUUAUCCUACAUAUGGGACUAGAGAAGAAAUGGAAGUUGUUUAUAUGAAUGUUAAACAUUUCCAAAUUGUUUAUAUCAUAGCUAUCCUUGUUUGCAAACCAAUAAGAACAAUAUUAUUAUAGAGGUGUUUUAUGAUGAAAAUUUCUGCUGGUGACAUUUGGGUGUCGUCAAUAUUGGUAUUUGGAGGAGAUGUUGGUGAUCAAAGUUAAAGGCCGAGUAAAGGCAUCACGCUAUGAUGUUAUUUUUUACCUGAGGGAUUUUCUUAACAAACUCAUGCUAAAUCUAGAACAUGCAAACAACUUUGCAGGUGGACAAUCUUGUAAAGAAAUUUCAAGGGCAUGUUUGUGUGAGGGGUAUUACUUUGGUACGUGUUGGUAACUACAUACCUAAUUGUUACAAGAAAAAUCUCAUCCAAACAAGCCCUAAGGACAUUAUGGACCUUGCUACUGCAAAGUUGGUAAGUCGAAAAUACGACAGGAUGUCUGAUUGAUAUGUAGGACCUGGACCCACAUGUCAUUCUCACAGCGAGUCGCACUAUUUCAAAUGUCAACUUUGUGGUGGCAUGGUUUCAAUUUUCCCAAUAAGAAACUAGAUACAAAUAGCAUAGAUGAACAGCACUUACCCUUAGUAGUAUUUGAUUUGGUGAAAUUGGUAUAGUUUGCUUGUCCACAAUAAGGUUCCCGGUAAAUGUAUAAAGUGAAUUGUUUGGCUGUUCGCAUUGUAUUUCACCUGUAAGCCAUGAAACAUACAGAUAAUGUGAAGUUAAGAAAAUGUAGAAUAGUUAAGUGAAGUUCAGAAAAGGAGCAAUGCUUCCUACACCAACUACCGAAAAAUGUCUGCAACAUGGAACAAGAAUAGAUAAAAACCUUUGAAUUCAGAAGCCUUUUCAGGAAUUACGCAGUCCCAGGUUUUCUCCAAAGCCUUCCUUAUUUUCAGGUUAGUUUCCCCAUCAAGAUUUGCUGUCUAAGGUAAAUAGAAGUAUGAUACACUUCAAUUAAAACAGAGUUUCUCUAAAUCAUUCAAUAAUUUCAAUUUGGACAAAAGAUGGAGAAGGUAAGAAUGAAUAUAUUGACCUCUAUGUAGCAGACACCAUCAGGGUUCGUACUUGAUAGGAAGAGCAAGUCAGAAGGAAAGUAAGUGUCUUGCUUGAUCUGCUCUAAAGAAGUGCCAUCACUAUUAGUCUUUUUGGAUAUGUGUAUCGAGCUGAAGAUUAAAUUUGCACAGCACAAAAGAUCAAGUGCAUUAAUUUGUGGAAGCAACAGAUCAAUUGAAUUGAUCAUCAAAUUGCUAUCAGGAAAGAUGAAGACAUUACCCUCACAAUAUCUCCAACCUGCAGUCUUUUCCAAGGGGCACUUUCCCAUUUUUGACCUUGCAAUACAUCGACGUGCGCAUUAUUAAUUGACAUGUCAUUCUGGAAACGUUUCUGUAUAAUGGGAGGCAAACAAAAAGGGAAGAAUAUCAGAUAACAUUAAGAAUAGCAAUAAAAUAGUGGAGCAACAGAGCAUGAGAGCAAUACUAACCCAGUCCUCAAAAGCUUCCUUGAUGAGUGAAACCAAAAGCACUAAACUAAGUGGAACCACAUUGGUGACAGGGUGGACUGGACUGCGAAGAUACAAGCAUGUAUGAACUAAGAUUUCUAGAAGUAAAGGUGAAGGAAAGCAAAGGAUGACUGAAUCAACUGAUGGACUUGAUAUGCUAAGAAGUGUCUAGCUGUAACAUGAGAAUUCCAUAGGGUGCAUGCAUGAGAGAGAGAGAGAGACCUAAUUGGUGUAGUCGACAAGAUUGAAAUCAUAAGAAAGUAAAGAUUUGCCACCCGUCUGAACUGUCAAAGCAAAAAAAAAAACAAAUGAAUUACAAAAGGUUCCUAUGGUCAAAUUGCGAUAAUACAGAAAGGGAACAUCUAAAUCGGUGUUACAGCUACCAUUGCAAAGUUUCUUUAUUCGAUAUGGAAAAAUGCAUUACAUGUUUAAUGUAUGAAGCCAUUGAAAUACUUUAAUGUACCUUACGUAAAAAACAGUGGAUAAUGAAAUUGCCAGAAUUAUGGUAUCGCAUAAAAUGAAGGUUACAUUGAGCGAAAAGCAUGAUCAGGGCUUUACCAAAUAACAAAAUCAUACUUCUCCUUUUCUCAAUAUAUGGCAUUUUAGGUUUCAUUGAAGACAAGUCUUUGAAAAGGAUUUACUUUGUGUUGUUUUUAAGGCAUGAAAUUUAUAUCACUAGAUUCAUCCUCAAAAGUACUUAAUGUGGAUUCAUAUCAUAUAAAUCACAUAUUAAUGAAGUAAUUCUUGGUCAAAGUCUUGUAUUAACGAAACCUAAUAUGUCCUGUAUUGACAAAAUGAGGGAGUAUAUUAUCUAACAGUGCAUGUAUACAGGCACGAUACUGGUAGCGCGUAUUACAAGCAAGGUAUCUUAAAAACAUUGCAACACAGUGCCAGACCAGGUAAGCAACUAAGCAUCUCAUGUAUCCACUAUUUUAAGGGAAGUUGAUCCAGAGUGAGGAAAUAAACAUUUUUAAGGAGAUAUAUCAAUUUGCAAUGUGAAAAUGAUACGGAGUAGUAUAAUCAUUUCACUGUGAUAACAAAUACUCCCUCCGUUCUAAAUACUUGUCGCUGUUUUAGUGCAAACUAAAACAGCGACAAGUAUUUAGGAACAGAGGGAGUAACUUCCAUUUACCGUUAGACAUGAUACAAAAUAAUAUGUUGAAAAAAAAUCUAGCCAAAAACUAAAAAACAAACAGAAAAUCUGCAUUAAACGAUGACAAACCCAGCAGGUAUGUUGAUUAACAAAAUAUGUAUGAACAAAAAACAACGCAUCAAUACCUGUUCAAACAAUCCUUUAGGUAGAAAUGUCAGCACACUGUACUUUGUAGUCGACACAGAAUUUCCCUGGAAAUGUAGAAUGAGAAUGUUAAAGAACUAAUUCUAGCAGAAAAACAAAGUAGCGCUCUGCAUUAGAAUCGCGAUGGUCUGAUACCCAACAUGAGGGAGAUUCUGAAACUAAACAGAAGAGCUAAUUGCAACUAGAAGCAUGAAAAAAGUAUAGCUUGAUCUUUUUACAACAUCAAGUCUGAAUACAUUCAAGCAUUUACACUAACUUGGAACAAAAUGUGGGUGUCAAAGAAAAUGCAUGAAUACACCUACUUACAAUAAAGCACCAAUUUUGCAGUGAUUGGACAAACUAUGGUUAAAAUACUUAAUAAUAGAGUUCUACGUAUUUGGAGGCAUAAAACGCAUUGCAGUUGGAGCAGUGGCAUUAUCAUGUUAGUCAGUCUAACAUGGCAGUGAAUGACGUGAAUUUUUUGCUAGUUUAGACCUCUGGCCAGCGCAAUUGACAAAAAUGCCCCCCUCUCAAAACUAAUGCCAAAAAUGGUCUGGCAGAAGGCCCGAAAGGCGCCACAUUUCAUUUUUCGCCAUCUGAGCUGCGCAUGCAAACAUUCCGACAACCUGAAAGGCGGAAAGGCCGUUCCGCCUACUGCAUUUGAUGAAUGCACCUGACAAGGGCGGAAGGUGAACUGGGCCCUGCAGAUGGAAGCAAUUUCCACAUUUGUUACAGACCUGGAAUCUUUUUUUUUGUUGGAGUCGACGGACCAUGUAUGUGCGGAUGCAUAGGAAUCGGCAAGCAGCCUAGCUGCUAGUUCACGGGCACGUUUUACAUUUUCUUUCCUCAGGUUUGGCUAGUGCUACCACGUUGAUACUAAUCAACGCUUCUUGUGAAUGGGCUUAGUUGCUUCUACUAGUCGUGCGAGCGUUAAUCUUUUCUCUGUGCGCCUGCAUGUGCGGGCGUGGGAAUCGGGUCAGGUCCCUGCAGACAGCACGCCUGGCUGCACUGGGCCUGCUUCAGCUUCCGCCCCUGAAAAUUCACUUUCGUCCAUUUCAACUGGAAACAAGUAGGCUCCACCUGUCCUGUUGGCGGAAAGUUCAUUCCUCCUACCCAGUGGCCACUGGGUCAGUUGCUGGGCUUUCCACCACGUCAUUUUUCAAAUUAUAUUUCAGAUGGAGCUAUUUUUGCCAAUUCCGUUUGACAAGGGGCUACAAGAGCAAAGAAAUUGAAUGACAUAGCAAGCAAUCAAUUUCCCCUUAUAGGUAAAUAAUAAACAGCUUUGCUUCAGCUUACUGUCAUCAGCUGGUGGCUGACUGCCCUGACCAAACACAAGUUCAGUAAUCUACACAGCAAGCGGCACACAGGUGCAGCUAAGCACAUGGAUGAACAGAAUAUUCCAGCCAUUGAGGCUCAGCUCUCGAAGCUUAAUGCCAGGUGGCAUCUACAUUGUAUUGCAGCCCGUAGCACCCUGAUUGACUAGUAACCCAACAAUGAGACAAGCUCUAAUCCACCCAAUGACCUCACAGUUGGCAAGAAAUGCAGCCCUUAGUGACACGCACCACCCUACAUAACUUUCUCGUGGACUAAUCAGUAUGAAUCAUAUAAACCCUCUGCAAGCUGCAGUGAAAUAAAACUACUACUACUGAACUAGCUAUUGUCCCAGAUGGCCAUCUCCAACCCAACCGCCCAAGCAUGAAACAAGGGGCCAGUUACGAGAUCUAGGCCUACAGACCCCUAGACCUUGAGACAACCGACCUGUUGAUCAUCCGAAUUAGAGGAGGAGGUGCACACCCGUACCUUGUACCCGACCGGCGCGUUGGCUUCGCGGUCGUUGCAGUAGAUGGUGCGCACGGUGGGUGCCUGCGGCUGCGGCUGCCGUCGGAGGCUGCCGCCCCCGCCGCCGAGACGCGCCGUCCUGGACGCCUCAGCGCGGCCGGCCUGAGAGGUCCCCCCCCGCGGCGACUGCUCGCCGCCCAGCCGCGCGGUGGCAACCCGCAUCAUCUCCUUUAUGCGCGAGCUCAUCCUGCCCCCCUCAGCGCCAAACCCAGCGCUGGAGGAGCCGGCGGGAGAUCUGGGGAAACCUCACGGUGGAUCGGAGGGGAGACCUAGUCGGAUUUGCGCGGCUUUCUGGUGGAUUUCAGUGCCUCGCUGAGGAGGGGAUUCGAUUUGGGUCACGCGUUCCCGUAUGUGCGUAUUUUUUCCGUGUAAUUUUUUUGUUUUGCCUUUUUCUUUUCCUUUGGCUCCGGGAGAAGAGAAGACAGGAGGGGAAGGAAAAGCGAAGGUCGCGACUUCGCGAGGAAGAAAAUGAAGGGAUUACUGCAGAUCACACCCUUGAUUAUUUUCGAAUAUGGAAAGCUCCAGUAACUGAAGUUUGAAAUUCCAGCCGCGUUUGUCUUUUCCUUCUUCGAGCAAACAACCGUGUUCUUGACUUGUUCUAUGUUUUUGCUGUCCGGAGGACUACCCGAUUUGCAAGUAAAUAAUGGCAUUAAUUUCAUAUAAGCACUUUAGGACACCACACUUGACAUGGUUUUCUACUGACGACGACUAUAUGGUGGCUUUGAUGUUCCAUGAAUAGAUCUUUUUAGCGGUGUUUCAAGUUCAGGUGUUAUAACAAAGCAUUACUCUUGACCUAUCUUCCCUUGCGACCAUGCUUUUUGAAUCGCCAAGUCGAGUCGAAUCGCCCCCCAACAGACUUGGAGGUUAGUAUGAUUAGUCAGAAACUAGUCUCGACUAAUCAACCCAAGUCGAGCCUAGUGAUCAGUGAGGUUUAGGGAGCUCUAGCAGGGAGCAUUAGAGGAAAGGAGUGAAUUGCAGUAGAGGGGAAGCACGAGGGAACAGUUUUUGUGGUGCUGGAGCUUGAAGAAGAGGUUCAUGGCGGCUAGGAUCUAGGAGUCGAUAAACUUAGAACGCCCGUGUUGAGGCAAACGCGUUGAGGAAGACGACUUCAAAGGUGGUUGGCUCAUUAUCAGGAUAGGUGCGUGCCUGGCAGCCCAUAAAGGCCUAUUAGAAAACCCUAACUCCCCCCUCCCCCCCCCCCCCACACACACAUUGCCUUCUUCUACACCACACACGCACCAAUGGCGGCCAUCUUCUUCCCCUUCCCUGCUGCUCCCCAUGCCUUCUCUCCCUCCCCGAAAAGAAAUAUCUUCCGAAAAUUCUUCUCUUCGAGUCAAGUUGAGGGGCUCGCGGCGUUCCUAGUCACGGCGGCUAGUCGGAGAAGUCGCGGUUCUAGCUGACGAGUCGCGCGACUUGCUCUGCUAGUCGAGUCGCGGCUGCAAGCCGCCAUCAUUGUGCUGGCUCGGCGACUAGUUGGCGAUUCAAAAACCAUGCUUGCGUCUUAUAAUUUUGUUUCCUCUUAGAUUUUUUUCAAUUAUGUAUGGAACUCUUUUAAGCUUGGCUAACAUAUUGGGUCAAUUUGUCUCCCAUUGAAAAAAAAACAAUUUCCUAUAAAAAAUAAAGUAUCCACAAAACAAUAUGCAUAGCGCAGUUGUUUUCAAAGUUGUGGAUGAAACUUUGUGUUGUACAGGCAACCACUUAAUAACUUGUUCGGUUGUAGAAUUCCCCGCAUGUAUUGAAGAGGAUUAAGAGAGAUCUAAGGAAAAUUGAUCUGCAAUUCGAUCAUUCCCUCUUAAUCCCCAUCGGAGUGGAAUCAACCGAACGGGGCUAAUGUGGACCAUAUCACCUUGAGGACUCCAUUCUUCUUUUAUGGCAACGUUGCAUGGACCUUGAUAUGAACGCACGUGCCUGCAAUCUCUAUUAUUUUUUCGUAAAUAGCAACUGUCCUUUCUGUAUCUUGUAAUAUGUUUUCUACAAUUUUAUUUGGGAUAUUUCGUCAAGAACCCAAAUCGAUUACAUUUUCCACUUUGGCGAAUGAGUCAAGAUUCUCCAUGUGUUCCAGCGAGGCAACUGCGAGCUACACAUGUAUGGUGAAACAAGCCUCGCAACUUCGUAAGUAACUCCAAAACUACAUCAGCACGUCUCUUGAACUUUGGAAACACACAGACGUGUUCCACGACCGUGAGGCGACGGAGUUAACGGGGCAGCGUUGCCGGAAAGACAAGAGUACCGUAACAAGGCCCAGACUGGGCUGCAUCGGCGUUCUGCCUCUAUUACAAGCGAGAGAUGUUGAACCGGCCAAGGUUAGGCAAGGCAGUCAGCGGGAGGAUUUUUUUUUUUUUGUUGUUGGUUUUGAAGAGGCGCGGGAGGAGAAGAACUUGCUUGACCAGCCCACAAGAUCGUGAACCGGUAUGACAUUGACAUUUUAUUUAGGGCCAGUAACGUGUAAUUAGAAGUACUAGCUUACAUCUCUUCCUUUUUGAACCGUCAGAUCUGCAACCAUAUCAUCUCUCCCCUUUGUCCUCUUCGCUAUGCCGAUUUUAGUGAAACGCCGCUGCCAAAUCUUCACAGGAUUGUGAACCGGCAGCAGCUUCGACCCUUCAAUAUUAUUAUUACAGCUAAAUAAAAGACUGAAAUUAUAGGUGAGGUCCUUUGUUCUAAUCGCCCAAGCGAGCAGAAGCCAAGAGAUUACGUGCAAGCAUAGCAUGGCCAUGUUCGCCAACUCAUGACAUAGUGGCACAGGGACUAACCACCUGGAUUACAUGGCUAGCUUCCAUAUAUGUGCAACAAAAUAUUGGUACCAGGCAGCCAUCUGUGCCACCAACCAUAAACUCCCUGAUCCCAAAAAAUACAAAAUACCAAGAGUUUCCACCCACAUCAGUACAAGUGCACAACAGUUUAAGAGACAAGCCAAGGAUCAUUCCCAGUUUGUGGGAAUAAAUAAGAGUCCGCAGCAAACAGAAAACUCAAAAUCGCUGGCAAAGUUAGGAUGUGGAAAAAAGAAAGGCUUAAAAUGAUCUAGCCAUGGCGUCAGAAUCUAUUAUCAAUGUUUCUCUCUCAAGGAUUUCCCUUCUAUAUAAAGUAUAAUAUUACAAAGGGGCUGCUUAAAUAUCAUGGACUCCUGGAAUGUAAAGAGGGUAAUAAUCAACACUACAUGAGCCUCCUUUUUCCUGAGGCUGCUUCCUAAGACUGACUGACUGCUUCCCCGAGGAUCCACAUACACCCUCCCCUCUCCUCAAGUUCCACCUCCCACCAUGGAAGUUAAACCCCCACCAUGGAUCCGAUGCUAACCAACUGUACGCGACCUGGAGAAAGUCAGUCAGCUUGGUGGUUCAAUCAAGACAGAGCAUCACGAUAUUGCCCAAAUGGUAUAAUUGGCAGGAUCAAUAAGUAGUUUAUGCUCGCAGCAAGAUCCAAAAGAACCAAUCUACCAUGACUAAUGUAUGACAAGAAUGAUGUCUUAUGUCUACUUUCAGAUACACUAUGGUCCAGGUGAAACAAUAUUUUAAAGUUUAGUAAUUACUGGCAGUAGUAGACAGACCACAGAAGUGUAAAGAUAUUUGCACACAUGACCUUUUAAUCCAAGGCUAACCCAACCUUGUAAGCUACGUGCUGUUUGUGCUAACGCUGCUGCUUGAAUGCAAUUAGACAGUGGUGAUGUCCUUGUUAGUCUGUUACAUACCUAAGGCAUCACCUCCUGAUUCUAGGUUUGCACCGGAACUCUGCUAAGAGCGCUAUGUGAUCUGAUGACCAUUCAGGUGAAGGAAGAGCAGUGUCUUUUCUUAAGCUCUCCUCAUCCAGAAGUUCCAACAAAGACUCCACGGUCAACGAAUCCGCUGAAACAAUAAAGGAAACAUGAUCAACUGACCAUAAUCAAACAUAUCACAAUACUACAAGCUGAUUCUGAAGCAAUUCCCAGAAGUCUAAAUACAGCAUACAGGUCAGGUACCUACCUGUGUAAAAUAUAUAAUCAACAGUUCCAGUGAAAUCCCUUGUGCAAUUUGUGAAAAGUGGUUCAUUUGUUCCUGGAUCCAUCCUCCUUCGCUGGUGCUCUAAAUCAUAGCCAACACCUACCAUUCUUGCAAAUGAAGAAUAUGCACUGACCUGCAAACAAGUAAACAUUGGUCAGAAUUUUAAAGGAAGAACAAGAUAGACAAGCUUGAUAGUUUUACUGUACCAGAGGAAGCUGGUGCGUCAACUUGCUCACGGGGCGUAAAAUUGAAAGUGGGUCUAUGGCCAGAUCUGGAUGCAAUUGAUCAACUUUGCCCACCGCAAGAAGCCCAUGUGGAGUACUGAAAGACAAAAGGAAGCACUUAGAGAUUUAAAGUUAGAAAAAACAAGUAAACCUGAAAAAUAUUGCUCCAAUAGAAUCUUGACAUGCACCUCCCCGGGAUUGAAUUGAAAUCCCCACAGACCAACAUUGGAAUGUCUGCACUGUUGGCUAUUUUCUCCAAUCCUUUUAGUAGUGUUUGAACCUGCAAAAAACAUACUUACUUUCGAUCUGAAUUUUUCAGAUGUUGCAGAAUGCUAGCCUACAGAGAAUGUGACAAUACUGACCUCCCAUAGUUUCACAUCUUUGAGGUCUUGGUGGACAUUUACAUGUGUAUUGGCCUGAAAUUUGAGAUCAUUUAAAAGAAUGAGACCUCCAUGACUCCAAGUAGCAUAAGCCUAGGCCGUAUGAACAAUGGGAAAUCUGUAGUAAAGUUGGCCUCAAAAUCUAGAGUCUAGAGAGCCAAGUCCCAAUCAUCCGCCAUUAACAUAUAGAUGUUUCCGUGCAUCUUAUGCUACUAAGGUCAUCCUACACAGAUAUAUGUUUCACUUCAUUCCUAAAUGUUGUGAGCAAAGAAGGAAAAGAAUCCAUAUGUUGUUCUGCACUAUGCUGCUAGCAGUUCAAUAGCUAAACAUACGGGAAAGUCCACUUUUGGCCCCUUAACUAUUGCCUCAGAUCAAAAUCAUCUAAUUUGCACCCUCAACUAUCAAAAGCAUCCAAGUUACAUCUGAAGGCAAUAUUUGUUAGAGGCUUUGUGUGAUGUGGCAUCCAUGUCAACGUGUUUUGCCACAUCAAUCGCUGCUGGGCAGUAGGGCCCACAUAUCAUGGCUGCCGUGCCCCUUCUUUCUUUAUAAUUCUUCCUCCUUAGCCAUGCCAUGGCCUCCUCUGUAGGCUAUAGCUUCCACUGCUGCUGCUACAGAUAACCCAUGUUUGACGUUGCAUAACAUCUUCUGAUUUAGAGAGGGGUAUCCUGACAGACAUGUACCAGUCUCCGCAAACCGCUGCACGGCUGCAUCCUGAGGGGAAUGGACAAAGAGAGGAUUAGAGAGGAAGGCUGAGGAGGGAGGCGUUUAGGGCGACUCCAACACGGCCACCCAAAUCGGACACAAAAAGUGUGUCCGUUUGGGUCUGCUGGUGCCCCUAACACGGUCACCCAUUUGGUCCGUUUUAUUAUUUAGUAUUGGCCACGGAUAGGCGGGCCAGGGCAAGGACAAGGGAGGACAAGCGCAGUGUCCACCCGCUGUCCGCCCAGACACAAACCCGGUCAGAUUUGGGUCGGCAAUGGGUUGAGCUGGACAGAAAAGCAGACAGCCGCCACACCGGACGAAAUGGGUCGCCGCGUUGGAGUCACCCUUAAUGCUAAGCUGGGAAAGAGGAAGGGAACAGAAAUAAGAGGAUGAGGACAAGGGAGGGAGAAAAGGGUGCUUCCAAAAAAUCAAUCCCAGGCAUGUGGGGCCUACUGCCCAGUGGAGAAUGAGAUGUCAAAGUUGCUGAUUUGGCGGCUACAUACAGAAUAUCACUCAUGAAACCAGCUUCUGGUCCUAUCGAACGGUUUCAUGAGUUGAUGGUUCAAUUUAGACCAGGCAAAAGUUGAGGGAUCAUAAUUAGGCUUUUCCAAACAUAAAUGAAUGUCAUGCUGUAAAAGUAGUGUUCGUCAUCCAGUAAACUGGUUCGAAUAUCCAACAAGCGCACAACUACUUUAUACACAUCUAAAGAAAGAACAGCUAUUUACAUACCACACAAAGGAGCUGCCUUUUACCAGGAGUUUCAGUUCCUUGGUUGCCAAAUUUUGCUUCUAAAACCGCAAUCAGCGCAAUAUUAUCCUUCAAAGCAAAUAGAACGUGUGAUAAAUAACAUCACUUUUUUUUGCGAAAAGUGAUAAAUAACAUCACUGUAGCAUACAUUAUUUCUUUUGAAGUUAAUCUUACUUUAAUCAGUCGACUUAAAGCCACUCUUUUCUGGGAAGCUGGAAUAAUAGCUUCUGUUAAAGACUGUGCAGCCUUAUUGAACUCAACCUACACAAGCAAGUACAAGUAUUAGAUAGCUGCAAAUAUCAAGCUGCUGCAAACCUGCAGUACAGGUACCUCGUAUUUUUUGACAUGUGAAAAUCUAUCUCUACGGAAGAAAGUAGCACAGCCAUCAAUGGCAUUAGGAACUCCAGCAUACACCUGUGACAACAGUAAAGUAAAAUCAAACAAGAGACAAAAGGUAUUAAACCAAAAUAUGAAGGAAAAAAUCAACCCAAAGAUACCUCUGUUGUCCGUUUCUUGUAAAGCGCCUGAUACCCAUGUUUAUCAAACUCAGGAGCAAAAAAAUCCUCAAAGUGGUUCAAUUGUACCUGAAAACAGUAGGACUUGGCUUAAUUCCCUCCUGUUACAAUCUUCGGUCACUCUUCGUUUUUAUUGUAAGCCGCUUCAGUAAACUCUUCAUAAUAUAUAUGCAGACAAUAUUCGUGAAAGUUUAAACAGCAAGCAAACUAUCAUAAAUUCAUAAUCCAACAUCACUGAAAAGUGAAAACAAUCAAACAAAGUGAUGGCACAAAUAUGGAAACGAACAGCCCAGCAGUAUAUGAAAGAUUGUAGGUUGAUGAACAGGGUUCCGGCAUUAAAGUUUACCGAGUCGCAAAAAUUAUAUGAUCAACCAAAUGAGACAUGCUCGGUUCCUAAAACAAAUAUAUGAGAUGAAAAGCUGAAAAUAGGUCACCAAAAUAAAUAAAUUCAGAAGAUAGCAAACAUAUGAUACCUCCUGAAGACAUAUAAUAUCAGCAUGAUAACCAAUAAUUUCGCGCAUCAAAUUUUGUCUUCUGUAAGUCCAUGAAAGUGCCCACGUUGGGCAGUAGCUAUAUGCAUCAGAUGUAGCAUAUGCAUCAGCAAGAAUAUUAUAGGACAGCACCGUGAAUGUCCCAAAAGAAGAAGUCUGGCUGUCUAUAUCUGAGUGACCCAAAACAUCUCCAUUCACUUGGAUAAGGCGGCGUGGAGUAGGAGUUGGUGCUGGAAUCACACGUGAUGUCAUAAUUGAAGUUGGAGACCCCGCAGGUACUUUCUUUUCCGUAUCCACCGCUGCACAUUCAAAUCUUAGAACAUGCCCAAUAUCAUCAGCAGUUGGUGUAUACGUCUGCGAGCGUCCCACUUCAAACCAUGUUUCACCCGAGUUCUUAUCAGUGCCUGAGGGAUACAAGGGAACAGGUCCAUUAUUAACUCCAGGGCUCUGUCCAAGAUUUGACAUUGAGCCAGACCCAGAACUUAGAAUCCCAGAACUACCGCUGCCAAAUCUACCAAAUAGCUCCUCCUCUUCAGCUCCAUUUUCAUUUAAAGCACUACUAGCUCGCUCAUGCAAAACCCUGUGGUGCUGCCAUGCAUCAGAGAAGCACUUAGCAGAACAAUGGUAGCUCUUAGCAGCAGGUAUUUUUGACUUGAGACAACCUAAGCACUGAAUUGUUGCUUGCUCCAUCGGAUGUACACUGCAGAUAGUAACUUUUCGAUCACUCUGUAUGCGAUACCUUCGAGCGAAAAGUCAAAUCAGUAUAACCAUGUGCUACUAGAUACAGAAAAAGUUUAGAAGAACAUGAUUGAAUAUAGUAACUACAAGAAAGGACACCUAAAUUGCCAAUGUUUUAGCAUGUAUGAGAUCCAGGAAAACUUGCUAUCAGCAUCUUGGAAGUCCAUUAUUCAGAGACAUUAGACUCACAACACUUCCAUUAUAAGCAUAGUAUGAAUAAGGCAAAAUGAAGCAGGUUGCCAAGAUGUCGCAAAAAAAAAGAAGCAAAUUACAAGUUUGCUUGUCAUGAGUUGCUGCUGCUGUUGUUUUUUCUUGAUUUUAGUCCCUCAACCGGCUAACUCGUGAUCAUUCAUCUCUUGCUUUCUUUACCAGAUCAACCAUGCAACUGAUUUCUUUAGCGGACCAGGCAAUAUAUGUAAUAAGCAAAAUUCUACAGUUUAGAUCAGAGAUUCAGAGGACUAUUGCAGGCUCUCAUAUAUCAUCAUUAGGGCAUGACGACCAGACAAGGAAGUUGCUGUGUAUAUUAUUAUUCCUAGAAGAAAAACAUUUAAGUACUGUUCAAGGAGGCGACCAACUAUAGCCCAGUGCCCACCCCAUCAAUCGAUUAGUGUCUUUCAGAACACUUCAUUUCAACAAUGUGUCUAUAAAUGGCCACACUUACUAUACUCAAACCUCAAACCUUAAAAGUGAAUAAAGAUGCACAUAUCACAUGAGAUUCUAUCAAGCUAAUGACUGAAAAGCAACACAAUGAAAAUAUAAAAAACUAUAGAAUUGAAGGACCAAAACCAAUGAAACUGCAUGAGUGUUAGUGGGACCAAGCACCACCAUUUCGAAAAGUUCUAAGGUCUAAAGUCUCAGCAAUAAAUGCUAUUUAAACCUACAUGACAUUAAAAAAACGGAUGUGAUAAAACAAAUAAAUAUUCACGAACAUGAUCAAUCAUUCAGAGCGGGAUUCUAAAAUUGAUCACUGAAAUUGUUCGGCCACCCAGCUAUUAGUGAUUAUACAGCCGAGCUAGCUCAUUGCAGUGGGUGGCAUAACCAGCGGUUACAAGUUCUUUUCUCUCAUAUUUGCCUCUCCAUUUUUCAUUUUUUUAUUUCCAAAUAGAUCUACAAUGUUAUUUGAAUUUUAAAAAUAAUAGGUAGGGCACUCCUUACAUACAUGACCUCCUAGGCCAUUUAAAACAAAUAUGCAUUGUUUGGGGUUUUUUAUAUAACAUAAAGUAAGUUAACUAUGACACACUGCCAAAAUAUUUUUGCAUAAAAAACAUUAAAUUUGAUAUAGCACAGAAAGAACGUGGAUAUCCAGCAAGAGAUUAAAGAAGGCAAAGUGGGGCAGGCAGUCAGCAAAACAAAACUAGUGGAUCACGAGUUUCAAACUUUUACUAGCUUUAAGCAACUGAAAUAACUUGCCACUGAACCUAGUGAGCCAACAACUCUAACGUGUAAUAGCAAACAAGUAAUAAUUCUUUUGAAGCUCCAGAAUAAUCAAAACUGAGUCUAGAAUCAAGCUAGAAUGCCCAUUUGAGUUCACUGGUGAUGUUAGAGUGAUACUUAGUUCAAGGAGUAUAUCCAGAUACCCCAAUCAAAAAAAUCAUCUGAAGCCAUGCGAACAAACUGAUGGCACUUCUAGAAUAGUGUCUUUCCACAAAAUUAGUUAGAUAAGCCUAUGUAAUCCCAAAAUUUAUAAAAUGCUCCCGUUCCAUCCAAGAUGAACGUAAACAUUCCUGCACAACGAUUGGCAACAAUCCUCAACCCAACAGCCUUCAUCACCAUCCUAUGAUGCUAUCUAACACUCAAUAGUUCUAGCAAAACCAAAAUCAGAUGGUCUGUUUUGCUCAAUGAAUUACUUAUUAUCAUUACCAACCCGUGUGGCAGGUUGAUAUGGCAUAGACUAAAUAGUAUGAUUCAUAAACAGGCUUAAAAUAAUGCAAUACUGAGUUCUUUACCAAAUCAAGCAUUGGCAUUUCAUGUUCCCUGGGUUUCCAUUCGUUCCAAAAACAAACAACUGUCUUGCUAGAGAAAAUCAUGCUCAGAAUUCAUAUAGUUGUGCUUCAUUUAUGCAAGAAUCAAGACGAUUCAUGAGUUUAGCAAGUAGUUAAGCAUCUAGCAAACUGAUUGAUACUUAAAGCCCCCAUUUUCUUUUUUUCUUUUUUGUCAAAAUUCACUUGUAGCAACGCACAAGCGGAACUAAGCAUUCGAAAGUGUAUAUCCUAUUGAACCAAAAGUUGCAAUCACGAGCUGCUCACUCACCAUCUGUAUCGCAUGAAGUGGCCAUCAACAGGCGCGGCCUCAGGCACGUCGUCGGUGGAGAUUACACCGUUGGGCAGCCGCAGCAGCACGUACGGGGUGAUUUCGCACCCCACGAUCGGGAUCUCCGACGGCAGGUGCACCCGCACCACGCUCAGCAUCCUCCACUCCUGCUCCCCUCCCCUGCUCUCCUCUGCCCAGCCCAGGGGCGGAUCUAGAUGGUGUGCCGGGUGGGCACCGGCACACCCAAAAUUUGUGGACGCUGCGAGGACGGCGGAAGGCCAGGGCGACGUCGGGAGAGGAGGGGAGCGCCGCCGUCAAGGGGACCGGGAGAGCGAGACAGGGUUAGGGUUGGUUGCCUGAGGGUAUUUUUGGGCAUUUCGAAAAUCUAGAGUUGUGUCCAGCGCAUUUUUUUUCUAAACUAGUAUUGCGUAAGCGGGACGGAGUGGUAAUGUUUGUGCAAGACAAGAGAGAGCCGGAGAGGAUGACAUGUUUUUUUUAACGAUAAUAUUAAAAACUAGUCAAAUGUCCAUGGGACAAACUCAUAUGCGAUACUCACCGCAUUUGUAGUUAUAGAUUAAUACCUUUUCAUAGCAGUUUGCAGAGAUGGAACCAUGAAAGGCGUUGCAGACGUAUAAUUCACUCGCUAAAAAAUCCAUAUUGAGAAAAUAAUUAUGUACUUGAUAGACUCGGUCUCACGAAGUUCUGGUAAGAAGCCGGUUCGGAGGGACAAAGUUCCAGAAAGAUGGCCGCAAUGUCACGCACGACCAGGCGAAUUUGUGAUAGUUUUUUUGUUAUGAAAAAGCAAAGUAUAUGUGAUCGGCAUGCGACCUUGUGGAUUGGGGUUGAAAGUGUUGGACUGCAGUGUAUACCUUCAACCCACCACGUCUUGAUUUAAAGGCCAAAUCAACGUAGGAUUCGGACUCCUUAACUAAAUACGAUUAGGAUUCCCUAUCUAUGUCGGAUUUGGUCUCCUAUUCUGUGAUUGGCAAUUGGGAAUUUAGACAUUAAUCCAUAGCUUCUCCAACUCUUUAGUGAUUGAACGUAACGGUUGGUACAAGCUAGGCUGGGCGCGAUGGGCUGAGGCUGAGGCAAACCAACCAUGGACCUCGUACCGUUUAGAUUGAAAAAAGGACAUGUUUUUUUUUGUUUAUCGAUCAGGACGGACAGGCGCACGCACGAGGGUGAGUUGGAGGUUCAGAUCGGUUGGGCUUAGUGGAAGUUUUAAUGAAAAAGGCCUACGGACGUUCGCCAUCACCACCGAUUGUAAUAUAAUAGACAUUGUAGAUUAGUUAUGAUUUGGACCACCGGGCACCGGAACCCAAGCUGCUCAAUUUUGGCAAAAUUUGCAGAAAGCAAACUCAAACCCGAUGGCUCCUAUGUAGAUGGGAGUGAACUCAGAGUAUUCUCAUCGUGUUGCUACAAAGCUUUUCUUUGAUGAUGUUCCCUCCGUUGUGUUUCCCUUGCGUGCUCAAGGACACAAUGUUGUGAUUGAGGAAAUUGUUGAUGACCCUAGCUCUGCCAUCUUCCGUCCGUAAGUGAGGGCACAAGCAGCGCGUUGCUACUCCAGAAGUAACUUCAGGUCUGUGCCAUAGUUCAUGCUCUACCAUGUUUAGAGGAUUCAAGUCCUAGCUUGUUUCUGAUGUGCAGAAGAAACAGUCCAAGUGUCGAUGUUAUACAUUGUCAGAAUAUGAUUCGGGAUAGCACACGACCAAGGAUUACUACUACUCUUGAUGGCAACAGUCUACGUGUUUAUCAUUUGUUGGAACUCCAAGCACAAAGUGAUGUAACAAAGGGUGUUUUCCCCCACAAGUGUUUUACCCCCAACAAGCACCACAAUGGUUGUCAAUCACAAUGAUCACUAUACAGAAUCACUUAUUUCUGACGCGUUAAAAAACUUCUAGUCUGACGCAAAUGGGACGUGUCACUAAUCAAGUGUCAAAGAUGACUCGGGAACUUCUGACGUGUCAACAAGCGUCAGAAGUAGGAAACCCUAAUGACGCUUCUUGUCGAUUGUUAUUAGAGACAAGUAUCCUCAUGUCGGGUGAAGGCCAUGUUUGUUUGAGCUUCUGCUUCAGCUUUUGGUGGUUCUAGCUCUCUAAAAAGCACUGCUUCCGUUUACACAUGAAGCUGAGAAGCACGUCGUGAGGUGCUUCCCUCCAGAAGCUGCAGGAAGCACCUCCAGACGUGCUUCUCAGCUUCAUGUGUAAACGGGAGAAAUGCUUUUUAGAGGGCUAGAAGCAGCAAAAGCUGAAGAAAAAGAAAAAGCCCAAACAAACAGGGCCGAAGAUGAGUAAGAAGAUAGAGGGGCCUCACGGUGAUAUCUACUCGUGUAAGAUAGAGAACUCGGCGAAAGACAAGGGUUUAUACCGGUUUGACUUGCUCCUUUUCGUGAAAGCAAGCCUACGUCAUGUUGGUAAUCUAAUAUUUGUGUAUGAUAUUACAAGGUGUGUUCUGCCCAUCGAGGGCGCCUAGCCCGCUUUAUAUAGUCAAACAACUAGGGUUUCGGGUAGAGCCGGGUACAACUUUUACAUGGACUGUACCUUCCUAAACUAGUUAGGAUUCUUCCUUUACAAGAUAUCUACAACUAGUAUUUCCUAUUACCUGAACUAGGCUUCCUUCUUCAAUACGACAACUUCCUUGACCGAGUGAUAGGGGAUGUCUGGCUUGUGCGCUGAGUCGACUUUCUCUGUUCAGUCGUCUCUCAGCUACCCGGCUAGAAUAUCCUCGUCAUUAGCCCCGAGUACAAUGUGGAUAGGGGGGAGCUGAAUAAUGCCAUCGUCGUCAAUCUCGAAUCUUUCUCGUUUCAUGUGCUUUUCUUGAGUUGCUUCUUCUUGAUUUUAUUCCGACCUCAAAUCCACAAUGUACUUCUCUAUGACAGCUUGAGGUUCGAGCUCAUGGCUUCUUAUGCAUAAAGUUCAGCUAUAAGAGCAAACCAGCUUCUAUGUGGCAUGUGUUAGCAUUGCAGCGAUAUUAGCUCCUGUUUUGAUUUGUGUUUUUUCCUUAGCUGUAGCGUUGCUUUGAAUUAAUUAGCAACUACGUCGUGCAUGUAAAAAAAAGUGAGUUCCAACAAAUCUCUGACGUGCGCUAGAACAAGAGGUCAGUGAGCAUCAAAAGUAUACUGACGUGGCGACACAAGGAAGAGCUAGGAAAUUCCUCGUGAACAAAGUUGACGCUUCCACAAAGGAAAGAGUCACAUCAGCUAGAAUCUCCUUCGACGCUUACGAAGUAAGGAAGCGUCAGUAGAAAUGAAGAGUCAGAAGUGUGGAAGUUCUCCUACGCUUCUCCGAGGUAGGUGUCAGAAAUAUCUUAUUGACGCUGCCUCGUGGAUGCUACCUAUGACAGUCCUUAUAAGGAGCCGCAGAGAUAAGGAUUUGCGCUGACGCUUUUUAGUUUUGUGUCAGUGGGGAGCUUGCAAGAGUAAAGUCUAUAGUAGUGAGUGUAAGGCUAAACUUUAAAUAAACAAAUAAUAACUUUAAGUAAACUAAUGCAAAACAAUAAUUUAAACUAACUAGAAGAUGCAAUAACUAUAUAAUAAAUACUACUACUUAUUAUGCAACUAAAUAACCAAGAGAGAAUGUUUAAAUGGCUUUUUACAAGAUAUCUAAAAAAAAGCAAUUAAAUAAAUGCAAAAUAAUUGUAACAGAGGUGUUUCUUAUGAUAUUAAAGAGGACCAGGAUACUCUUUGCGGCAUGAAUAUAGCACAUAGGACAAGUUCAUUUACUUUGCAAUGUUUUUAUGAAGUGAAUGAUAAGCAUUCAUAUGGACAUCACGUCCUAAUAUUGAGAAUAUGCAAAAUAUCUCACUAAUGCUCCCUUGGUAAGUGACUCAUCAAACUAGAUUAUUGCUUUAGGUACUUUGACAUGAUGUUGAACUUUAAUGCAACUUUGAGCAAGCAAGACCACCAUUGUUGUCAUUUGGUAGCAUAAUGCGUAUUCAUUUAUCCCUAGCGGGUCAAAUCACUGAAAGGUGAAAAUCAUAGUGGUUCCCAAAAUUUUUGUCACUAUCCGGUUGCCACUACCAAUUGCUCUAUCUAAUACACACAUCCCCACACAUGCACAUGUAAACUAGUAUGAUUAGUACAAGUAAGCAAGAAGGGAUAGACAUAUGCAUCUAUCAAUACAUCAAAACACAAUCCAAACAUUGCAAACUCAUGACUCAUCUCAUAACAAAAGGUUCACCAAUAAAAAAUAUAACGAUGAUCAUAAUCAUGAUAGGAAACUCGUAUGAUUCUAUUACAACCCAUAGCCCAGCGAGGACUACUCCCUCAUCAUAUUGGUGAUGAUAGAGAAUAUGUUCAAGGAGAAGGAGAGGCGACCGAUGGUAUUUUCCCUUCUAAUCUUGGAUCAAUCUGAUGUUGUUUUUUUUCUUUCCGAGUCGUUGUGCUAUGCAAGCGCAAAGCACGGGGUAUUAAUAAAUGGUUUUAGGUCAAGACGAAUCUUCGGGUGAAAGAAUGCACUUGCGGGCGGCCACUCGGGAUAAAAAACAACCAUGGUGAAUUAUGAUAAUCUAGUUUUUUCGACUACUACCUCUGAUCCUAAAUUGUUGUCGUGGUUUUACUUCAAAUUUGUACUAAAACCACGACAAGAAUUAAGGAUCCGAGAGGUAGUUUUUACCUAUUUUUCAAUUCGGCUUACCUAUUAUUUUCUAAUUUUCUUUGUAUGUUUUGACAAAUUCAGCACACUUCAGCAACCCAAACUGAACAUUAGUCCCGUACAGGAUUCCAGAGUGCGUUGUACGCAUGUGUUAGUAUAUUCCUAAGCAAGCAAGAAAAAAAUAAAAAGAAGCAAAUAGUAGCAACUAUCGGUUGAUCCCGGCCCUGGGCCAGGACAAGAAGGGCGACAGCCCGGGCCCGCCCAAUCCAGGGGACCAGAUCAUAUGUGUAUACGCUAGUAGAGAUACAUGUCCAAAUAUUGAUUAGCAUAAAAGAAAGAGGAAAAAAGCUAGAGGCCCAGCAGAUUGCUCCGCUCCUGGCCAACCCAGGACGUAUCAACGUGCUCGAAAAUUCCCCUUGGCACCCGGUAUCCAGGCCUAUGUGUAUCUCAGCCGACCAAUUUUCCAUCCUACGGCUCCAUCCUGCAGCUCCUGUCGUCCGGCCCGUUUAAGUAUACAAUUUGCUAUUCUCCCGUACAGGCGGUAUUUGCACCGGUUGGCCUGACACAUCCUUUUUUAUAUUGCGUUUCCCAGGCUGGCUGGCCCAAGUCCCACCUCGCGCAUUGCUGGGUGAGCACAAGUCCUUUUCUCCCGCUGCAUACCGUGGCACAGGUCUGCCCUUGAGACAUCGCAUUAAAUUUCCAUCAGUCCCAUUUUUUUGGCCCAAGAUUUCUGGGCAGGCACAGGUCCACGCCAUUGGGGGGGCGGUGGCGCGGCUGGCGAGGCCGACGUCGCGGCUGUCGAGGGUGCCUGCCACGGGCGAUGAGUCACCGAGUCAGGCUUCGGUGCCCAGAGCUGAAAAGCGUGCCGCGGUAGACGAUGUUGGGCGCCUUAAUGCCGUGCUCGGACACGAUUCGGUCGGGGACGAAGCUGUCAGUUCCCGCGCAUAGCUCAUCAAGGCUGUACUCUGUGAUCAUCGGCACAGCACUGUCGUCUUCCCCAGUUUCCCCAUUCUCUAUUUCUCUACACAGGGAAAGCAAACAGCAAGGGGAAGAGCAUCCAUCCUGUAAAGCAACGAGCUGCCGGCGAUGGCCUUCUCCACGACCGCGGAGCAACGCAGCGCCGUCCCCGUGCCUUCGCUGGAUGCCCGCUCGCAGCUCCGUGAUGGACCGCUUCCGCACGAGCACCGCCCGCCCGAACGGGUCGUGCGCGUCGGCAAGCGCGAGGGCCGAGGGACACGUUGAGGUGGCCAAAGGCCGGGUCGCUAGGGAAGAACUCCGAGCUGCAGACCGGGGGCGCGGGGCAGGGACGGAUGUUCGGGCAUCGGCCGGACCUCCUCCGUUGGCAGCUUCCGCAGGCGAGGAAAACUUGAGGGGCAACGGCAGAUAUUUGGGAUUUGACGUGGGUAUUGGUGCUCCGAUCUUUCCAUCAGAUUGAUAACUCUCGAUUUGGGUUGAAGAUGACGUUUGACGAUCCGACUACGGUCUAAAAGACAGCGCCUUAGUAAUCAAUACACCAACUACAGAGAGUUAUUGAUCACGCGGGGCACGAUCAACCUGACCACGAAGGUUUUUAUUCCUGCAAGCAAUCGAAAAACAAGCAAGACCAAGAUAAAUAGUGGAUGCAAUCUGAAAUUGCGAAUAUACUAUAUCAAACCAAUGUCUCAAUGAGACGAUAAGUUGGGAUUUCGAAAGUGGUAAAGCAGGUGGUCUAGCCGACAUAGACGAUUACACGAAGUUGUAGCGAUGGCUAACUUUUAACUAAACAAAACCCAAGUCUCCAUAGGGAGGCUAGUGGGGUAUAUAAAAGAGGAGGGAGAGAGAUUUUCGCCCACCUUGAGUAAGGAGGCCGAAAUCCAAAUCUAUUUCUAACUUUUCUAACAAACUAUAACUCUUUAGGAAACAAAAAAACAGAUCCGUCAUCUUGUUUUGUCUGCCACGGCCAGCACGCGUCGAAUCUCCUUGUGGGGUCAAAUCUGUUGGAAAGGUCUUGUAAUUACCUUUCCAACAAGUACUUGUUUGCUUGAUUUGGACUCUGAAUGCGGUCUGGGUGAUUAAAACAAAUUCGGAUCUCCUGACAGCUCGGACCCGAAUCGGAUUCAACUUUAAUUCGUGAUAUCUUUCACUAGCAAGCUCCGAACCAUGUGCCGUUCGAUUUGUUGGAAAGUAGACUUGAUAGGCUUCACCUUGCAUCUCCCGUUGCAUGCUAUCGCACCUCAUCUUCACUUUGGAUUUGAAAAGCUCGACCAAAUAUCUACAUAAUAAAAUGAUACAAGAUAGUAGCUCUGCCUCUUCAUGCAUAUGGCAUUGAAAACAAAUAGUACUUGACUUCACCUGAUUAUAAAAUGUUAUCGAAUACUCUAGAACUGAGGGUGCCAAAGGUUGUAUCUAUGGUUAGCAUGUCCAUAUCAUCUUCCCUUUCUUGAAACAAAAGCCGUCCUCGGUGUCGUUUGUGCUGAAAAGAGACUGACAAAACAGACAAAGUGUGUGCAUGGGUAUAUGUACAUGUCAUCCAUCUUUAUACAUCUCCUUUCUUGCACAAUUAAUGUUUUAUAAAAAAAUCUCAUGAGAUAAGUAGUCAAACAAUCAUCAUGAAUUACAUUCCAGCAAGAAGAUUGACAAUAUGUUUUGCAUAUAUAAGUGAAACAAUAUCUUAUACUAGUAAAAAGCCCGUGCUUUGCUACGGAAGAAGACUUUCUUUUAAAAACAUGCUAUAGGUUAAUUUUCAAAUAGUCGGCUGACUUGGGCUUGCGGGGCUGCGGCUUGGGCUGAAAGGUGGAGAUGGGGUUGGUGGGCCUGAAGGGGGCUCGGGGUUGCUGGGUUGCUGUGGGAUCGAGGCAGCGGGGAGGUUGAAGGCACGGGAGCAAGGGGAGGCAGUGCCGGCGAGGUGGACGAUGGGAGCAGCACGCGAGGGUGCUGGGCUGCCACGGUGACUGGAGCUUGGCGACAACGUUGGCGGAUUGCAGCAGCGAGGGAGAGGAGAAGAGGGCGCAACGAGUAAUGAAGGCAGGAGCGCCAGAGAGAGGAGGCGGCUAGACAGAGGAGAUCGGGAGGGAGAAAGGAGCUCGAGGGGAAAGAUGAAGGAGCAUAGGGGAUAUCGGGGAGGACCGGCUGCCUGGUUGGGUGGACGGGCAGGACAAGAAAAGGGGACGAGAGCGAGAGGGAUAGGGUUCGAGGAAGCCCGCAGAGGUUAGGGCUCGGGGGUCAGACGGAUGUUUUUCGGGACUGGGGAUAUGCAGUGGCAUAUUGAGCGUAAUUUUAAUGGAGUGACGUACCGCGACACCUGUACCAUCACCACCAACUCCAAUUUAAUAUAUUUGUAUAGAUUUAGUUUGCACCGCUCACCAUUAUACCAUCCCAACACUGGAGAAUAAUAAUUAAUGGUACCCAAAUUAGUUACUACAAGAUGCUGAAAUUUAGAGCAAGUCAAAGCAGUAAUAUUCAAACAAUCGUGUAAACAACUAUUUGGCAAAUAAUCAACACCAAUAUUGGAGAUCAUAUCAAAAUAGUUAAGCAUAUGCAAGAAUUUAUUUUCUCCCAAGAUAGUAAAAUUAUCACAAGUAAUACAAAUUUCAUGUACCAAAAAGUUAUUAUUCACAUCAUGUUCUCCAAUUAGUUGAAUAGUGGAUCCAUGAACAUUAGGAAAAGAUUUUGAAAUUGUUAACUUGGACACUUUUUCCAUUGCAUAUGAUAAAUACAUAUGUGUAUCAAGUGUAAUAUAACACAAAGAAUUAAUAGGUGGAUCCUUAUGAAUCACUCCAUGUCUAAUUAACUCGACACAACCUAAGCCAAAUUUAUCUAUCUCACAUGUUUCUCCCAAAGCAUUAGUUCUGUCCUGACAUGAUUCAUGCUCAUCAAUAUCAAAAUUAAUAUGUGCACUAAAAUCAUUAGAAAAAUUAAUUUCAGCACUAGGUGUACUCAAAUCAGCAUGUAAAUCAACAAUUUCACAUGGUGCAGAAAAUUCACCGAGUAUCUCAUUUAUUUCAUCACAUGUCAUAUUUAGUUCAGGAACACAAUCAUCUUUACCAUUACCUUGUGGUCUCGACUCAUUUGUAGUAGACCUUCACUGUAAUUUCCUCUCAACUUCACGAGCAAGAUUAAGCAAACACAAAAAAGAGUCGUAUUUUCCAUAUUCAAUUAUGUAAGAAAUAUCAAAGUUAAGCCCACAAUAAAACCUAUCCAUUUUUGUUUGUUCGGUUUCAUCUAAACCAGAUCGCAAGGUUAGAAUUUGGAACUCCUGAUAGUAAUCAUCAACAGUUUUAUCAUCUUGUUUCAAACGUCGUACUUUUGCACGCAAGUUACAAGCAUAACUAAAAGGGACAUAUUUUUCUCUCAUGAUUUUCUUCAUAUCAACCCAAGUGUGAGGAAUUUUCUUUUCUCUAACUAUCUCACUCCACCAAGAUAAAGCAGCAAAAGUAAAUUUACUACUAGCAAUUUGGAACUUGCGACUAUCAAGUACAUGGAAGCAUGUGAAUUGUUCAGUUAAAGCUAUCUCCCAAUCUAUAUACGUUUCAGCAUCAUUUUCCCCCUUAAAGAAAGGUACACACAAUUUAAUUGUAUUGGAAGGAUUGUUUCGUACCGUUGCCGUCGCAUUGUCAACAAAAGACGUGGAGGAUGGCCAUGGUGAAAAGCACUCAUCGCGGUCACGGGAUUGCAUCGGUCUAGUUCCCAUGCUUCGUGUAAGUCCUGUCAUUGUUAGUAGAAAACAAGAAACAAAUCACAGUAAUAUGUUCCUAUCAACUAAUAGGAUGUGGCUACAAGUCGUUCAACUCUCAAGCUAAAAAUCAAGUUCUUACAAGUUCUUACCAUGCAACAAGAAGGUGAUGGCCAGCGGCUUGACCAAGCCCCUCCGAGGAUUAAAUGUAUCAAUGCCUCGGUAACAAACCAACCUAGGUGUAGAAUCUGUGUAGCUUGGAAGCUUUUGUGAGUAGCAAGGAAUAGCAAAUAAUCAAACAGCAAUGCAAAGUUGAAAAUAUGCUAAAUAAUGCUAGUCCUAACUGCUGGAGUCGAUAAUAACGAAUUACAGAAAUAAUCUAAGCCUAGAUAGUGAAGAAGGUAGGAUAGAAAGAUCAAAAUAAAGGUAAAACAACUAAAUCUCUAGGAUUUUUCUUUUCUUUUAUUUAUUUAUUUAUUUAUUUUUGUGGCCUUCUGUUUGGCUUCUUAUUCUUUUCUUCUUUUUUUAUUUUUUUAAUCCCAGAAACUCAUGCAAAAGAAGUAAAGACCGGAAAACUGCACGUCGGUCUGUCGAAGAACAGCAAAGGGUGCUGUAAGAAAAUGUCAGAAAAAUAUGGAAAAAUAUAGGUUAGGAGCGUAUCGAAACAAGCUUUCCAGGAAGUGCAAGAUCACUCAAAUCGGAGGCCGGACGAUGGAGAUAACGUAAAAACACCGGCCUGCAGCGAUGCCGGAAACCGGAUGCAGAAACUUGGAAGCUCUGAAAGUCCACCUUACAAACCGAGUUUGAGGGUCAAGGAGUCAGUGCGAUGCCCUGGAUAUUUUCUCGUGCGCUUCGUCAUGAGCUUUCCAGAAAGUACUAGAAGGUCCAAAUCUGAGUUGGUGACCGUUUUACUGAACACGGGUCAAACCCACUCGAAACUAUAAUUCUCCUGAACGUGGAUCUGAAACUGAUUCUUUUUCUCUCUCUUUUUUUUCAUUUUUUUUCCUUUUUUUUCCUUCCUUUUCUUUGCUUUUUUUUCACAACUUUCCGAACAACUUGAUCUCUAAACAAAAUUCGAUCUAUUAUGAAACACUUUCCAAAAGCACUCUCGAUUGGACUCGGACUCGAACCCGGAGAAGGACUCGGUGUAUGACUCGAUGGAAGAUUAUGGCGUGGCGGUGGUGUGGCAGGGAGUUUGGCGGCAGAAAAUUGAGGAAGGAAACCUGCGUCACACGAAGAACAAGAAAACCAAAAGCAAGUUCGAUCUAGUAGAAAAAGUCUGAAAAACGAUCCAAUCUAAUCCAGCAACUCGACACGAUUAAUGCAGCAAAGGUUCAACAAUGCAAAUACUAAUGUGAAAAUUGCAAGGCUCAGAUUGGUUUUUGGGACGAAGGUAAGUAAUCUCUACUUUUUUAUUGUCUUUUUCUGGACUAUAGGUAAAACAUAUCUAAACUAUGGAAAAAUACCACGUGAUGUGGGUCGGGGUGGCCCGAUAUUUCGAUGAGAUUGAUAACUCUCGAUUUGGGUAGGAGGUGACGUUGACGAUCCGACUACGGCCUUGAAAGCAGCGUCUUAGCAAUCGAUACACCAACUCCAGAGGGUUAUUGAUCACGCGGGGGCACGAUCAACCUGACCACAAAGGUCUUUGUUCCUACAAGCAAACGAAGAACAAGCAAGAACAAGAUAAAUAUCGGAUGCAAUCUGAAAUUGCGAAUAUACUAUAUCAAACCAAUGUCUCAACGAGACGAUAAGUUGGGGUUCCGAAAGCGGUAAAGCAGGUGGUCUAGCCGACACACGCGAUUACACGAAGUUGUAGCGAUGGCUAACUUUUAACUAAACAAACCCAAGUCUUCAUAGGGGGGCUAGUGGGGUAUAUAAAGGAGGAGGGAGAGAGAUUUUCGUCCACCUUGAGUAAGGAGGCCGAAAUCCAACUGUAUCUCUAACUUUCCUAACAAACUACAACUCUUUAGGAAACGGAAAAACAGAUCCGUCAGCUUGUUUUGUCCGCCACGGCCAG
This 39130-nucleotide long non-coding RNA is filed under the name Brachypodium distachyon (stiff brome). Its description in RNAcentral is "long non-coding RNA (BDIS_LNC003394)". Lineage: Eukaryota; Viridiplantae; Streptophyta; Magnoliopsida; Poales; Poaceae. The record is from RNAcentral.